This 460-nucleotide ribosomal RNA is filed under the name uncultured bacterium. Its description in RNAcentral is "bacterial SSU rRNA". It matches the Rfam family "Bacterial small subunit ribosomal RNA", at positions 335 to 788 of the family's 1533-position model. The record is from RNAcentral.
ACUCCUACGGGAGGCAGCAGUGGGGAAUAUUGCGCAAUGGGCGAAAGCCUGACGCAGCCAUGCCGCGUGUGUGAAGAAGGCCUUCGGGUUGUAAAGCACUUUCAAUUGGGAAGAAAGGUUGCGUGUUAAUAGCACGUAGCUGUGACGUUACCUUUAGAAGAAGCACCGGCUAACUCCGUGCCAGCAGCCGCGGUAAUACGGAGGGUGCGAGCGUUAAUCGGAAUUACUGGGCGUAAAGCGCGCGUAGGCGGUUUGUUAAGUCGGAUGUGAAAGCCCGCCGCCAACCUGGGAACUGCAUUCGAUACUGGCCGACUAGAGUACGAGAGAGGGAGGUAGAAUUCCACGUGUAGCGGUGAAAUGCGUAGAUAUGUGGAGGAAUACCGGUGGCGAAGGCGGCCUCCUGGCUCGAUACUGACGCUGAGGUGCGAAAGCGUGGGUAGCAAACAGGAUUAGAUACCCU